RNAcentral lists this ribosomal RNA (330 nucleotides) under Triticum aestivum (bread wheat). Its description in RNAcentral is "partial small subunit ribosomal RNA". The record is from RNAcentral. Lineage: Eukaryota; Viridiplantae; Streptophyta; Magnoliopsida; Poales; Poaceae.
AUGGGUUUUUGCCGGCUUUCUUAUUUUGUUUUCCAUUUUUGUCUUCUUUUUCUUUUUUGGUUUUGGUUUUCUUUUUUCCCUUUUUUCAUUUUUAUCAGAUUCGUGAACUGUUUUCAAAUUGUUUUUUAUUUUUCCAAAUUAUUGUUAUUUUUUGAAAAAAUGCGUGAACCUUUUCAAAUUCUUGAAAUUUUUUCGAAACCUAUUGAUUUUUUAAAACUAGAAACAUUUUUUUUUCUAAUCUUUGUGAAAAUUUUCAUUUAUGCGAACUUUUUUCAAGCUGCGUACUUUUUCAGAAUUGUGCACCUUUUGAAAUUUGGUAACUUUUUUUAA